UUCACUGGUUCAUUGUCCACACCAGGAGGGAGAACUCUGAACUUCCCUUCCUCUCAGCCCUCGAGGAGCCCAUGGGCUUGUGUGGAACACAGCAACAACAAACCCACUGAUAAUUACAGUGUGACAUUGUGUUAGAAGAACACACUGAAGGCGAAUUCUGGAAAGUUCUCAGAAAGAACUUCUGUUUCUGGCACUCUGCCAGGCACCACGGGGGCCUCGGUUAUCUUGUUGGUCACCGUGUCACCAGUGCCUCACACAAGGCCUGGCGCUUGGCAUGCAUUUGGUGAUGGACACAGCUGUAGAGCGACACACCUCCGACAGGUAAAAACGUACCAUCUGUGAAAGGCAC
RNAcentral lists this long non-coding RNA (349 nucleotides) under Vulpes vulpes (red fox). Its description in RNAcentral is "lncRNA (ENSVVUG00000000425.1)". Lineage: Eukaryota; Metazoa; Chordata; Mammalia; Carnivora; Canidae. The record is from RNAcentral.